AUACGAAGGGGGCUAGCGUUGUUCGGAAUUACUGGGCGUAAAGCGCGCGUAGGCGGAUUGGUCAGUUAGGGGUGAAAUCCCAGGGCUUAACCCUGGAACUGCCUCUAAUACUGCCAGUCUAGAGUUCGGGAGAGGUGAGUGGAAUUCCUAGUGUAGAGGUGAAAUUCGUAGAUAUUAGGAAGAACACCAGUGGCGAAGGCGGCUCACUGGCCCGAUACUGACGCUGAGGCGCGAAAGCGUGGGGAGCAAACAGGAUUAGAAACCCUUGUAGUCC
Molecule: ribosomal RNA, 274 nt
Filed under: uncultured bacterium
Lineage: Bacteria
Description: partial 16S ribosomal RNA
Rfam family: Bacterial small subunit ribosomal RNA
Source: RNAcentral